GGCUUACCAAGGCAACGAUGCAUAGCCGACCUGAGAGGGUGAUCGGCCACACUGGAACUGAGACACGGUCCAGACUCCUACGGGAGGCAGCAGUAGGGAAUCUUCCGCAAUGGGCGAAAGCCUGACGGAGCAACGCCGCGUGAGUGAUGAAGGUCUUCGGAUCGUAAAACUCUGUUAUUAGGGAAGAACAUAUGUGUAAGUAACUGUGCACAUCUUGACGGUACCUAAUCAGAAAGCCACGGCUAACUACGUGCCAGCAGCCGCGGUAAUACGUAGGUGGCAAGCGUUAUCCGGAAUUAUUGGGCGUAAAGCGCGCGUAGGCGGUUUUUUAAGUCUGAUGUGAAAGCCCACGGCUCAACCGUGGAGGGUCAUUGGAAACUGGAAAACUUGAGUGCAGAAGAGGAAAGUGGAAUUCCAUGUGUAGCGGUGAAAUGCGCAGAGAUAUGGAGGAACACCAGUGGCGAAGGCGACUUUCUGGUCUGUAACUGACGCUGAUGUGCGAAAGCGUGGGGAUCAAACAGGAUUAGAUACCCUGGUAGUCCACGCCGUAAACGAUGAGUGCUAAGUGUUAGGGGGUUUCCGCCCCUUAGUGCUGCAGCUAACGCAUUAAGCACUCCGCCUGGGGAGUACGACCGCAAGGUUGAAACUCAAAGGAAUUGACGGGGACCCG
RNAcentral lists this ribosomal RNA (670 nucleotides) under Staphylococcus aureus. RNAcentral describes it as "bacterial SSU rRNA". It matches the Rfam family "Bacterial small subunit ribosomal RNA", at positions 262 to 923 of the family's 1533-position model. Lineage: Bacteria; Bacillati; Bacillota; Bacilli; Caryophanales; Staphylococcaceae. The record is from RNAcentral.